Molecule: transfer RNA, 82 nt
Filed under: Canis lupus familiaris (dog)
Lineage: Eukaryota; Metazoa; Chordata; Mammalia; Carnivora; Canidae
Also listed under: 1 other name
Rfam family: tRNA
About the family: Transfer RNA (tRNA) molecules are approximately 80 nucleotides in length. Their secondary structure includes four short double-helical elements and three loops (D, anti-codon, and T loops).
Source: Rfam by way of RNAcentral
GCUCAGUUGGUUAAGUGUCCAGCUCUUGAUUUCAGCUCAGGUCUGGAUCUCAGGGUUGUGAGUUCAAGCCCCACACUGAGCU